This 270-nucleotide ribosomal RNA is filed under the name uncultured archaeon. RNAcentral's name for it is "partial 16S ribosomal RNA". It matches the Rfam family "Archaeal small subunit ribosomal RNA", at positions 477 to 747 of the family's 1478-position model. The record is from RNAcentral.
CAGCACCUCAAGUGGUCAGGAUGAUUAUUGGGCCUAAAGCAUCCGUAGCCGGCGCUGUAAGUUUUCGGUUAAAUCUGUACGCUCAACGUACAGGCUGCCGGGAAUACUGCAGCGCUAGGGAGUGGGAAAGGUAGACGGUACUCGGUAGGAAGGGGUAAAAUCCUUUGAUCUAUCGAUGACCACCUGUGGCGAAGGCGGUCUACCAGAACACGUCCGACGGUGAGGGAUGAAAGCUGGGGGAGCAAACCGGAUUAGAUACCCGAGUAGUCC